This 331-nucleotide ribosomal RNA is filed under the name uncultured bacterium. RNAcentral's name for it is "bacterial SSU rRNA". It matches the Rfam family "Bacterial small subunit ribosomal RNA", at positions 568 to 898 of the family's 1533-position model. The record is from RNAcentral.
CGCGUUAGGUGGUAGUGUAAGUCUGAGGUGGAAUCCUAUGGCUUAACCAUAGAACUGCCUUGGAUACUGUAUUACUUGAGUCAGUGAGGGGAGGGUAGAAUUCCUGGUGUAGCGGUGAAAUGCGUAGAUAUCAGGAGGAAGGCCUGUGGCGAAGGCGGCCCUCUGGUGCUGGACUGACACUGAGGCGCGAAAGCGUGGGGAGCAAACAGGAUUAGAUACCCUGGUAGUCCACGCCCUAAACGGUGGGCACUAGGUGUAGGGCUCGCAAGGGUUCUGUGCCGAAGGGAAACCAUUAAGUGCCCCGCCUGGGGAGUACGGCCGCAAGGUUGAA